AGCUCCAAUAGCGUAUAUUAAAAUUGUUGCGUCUAAAAAGCUCGUAGUUUGAAAACUUGCCUUGACUUGCAAUAGGUCCACAUGGGCCACCGUUUGUCGAGCGCAAAUAUGGAUGACUGUUUUUGCCGGCUUAAUUGUUUGGCUUAUAAGAGUUAUCAAAUAUCACUUUGAUUAAAUUAGAGUGCUUAAAGCAAGUGUAUUACUUGAAUAUAAAUGCAUGGAAUGAUGGAAUAUGUUAUUGUUCUAUUUGUUGGUUUUGGAACGAUGAAAUGAUUGAAAGGAACUGAUGGGGGCAUUCGUAUUGUUGUGAGAGAGGUGAAAUUCUUAGACCACAGCAAGACGAACUACUGCGAAAGCAUUUGCCAAGAAUGUUUUCA
This 377-nucleotide ribosomal RNA is filed under the name uncultured eukaryote. RNAcentral describes it as "SSU rRNA". It matches the Rfam family "Eukaryotic small subunit ribosomal RNA", at positions 587 to 972 of the family's 1831-position model. The record is from RNAcentral.